Molecule: ribosomal RNA, 429 nt
Filed under: bacterium
Lineage: Bacteria
Description: partial 16S ribosomal RNA
Rfam family: Bacterial small subunit ribosomal RNA
Source: RNAcentral
UGGGGAAUUUUGGACAAUGGGCGAAAGCCUGAUCCAGCAAUGCCGCGUGUGUGAAGAAGGCCUUCGGGUUGUAAAGCACUUUUGUCCGUAAAGAAAUGGCUCUGGUUAAUACCUGGGGUCGAUGACGGUACCGGAAGAAUAAGGACCGGCUAACUACGUGCCAGCAGCCGCGGUAAUACGUAGGGUCCAAGCGUUAAUCGGAAUUACUGGGCGUAAAGCGUGCGCAGGCGGUUGUGCAAGACCGAUGUGAAAUCCCCGAGCUUAACUUGGGAAUUGCAUUGGUGACUGCACGGCUAGAGUGUGUCAGAGGGGGGUAGAAUUCCACGUGUAGCAGUGAAAUGCGUAGAGAUGUGGAGGAAUACCGAUGGCGAAGGCAGCCCCCUGGGAUAACACUGACGCUCAUGCACGAAAGCGUGGGGAGCAAACAGG